CACGGGGUUGCGAGCGUUGUCCGGAAUUACUAGGCGUAAAGGGCAGGCAGGCGGAUCCAUAAGUUUAUCGUUUAAGGCGUCGCCUUAACCGGCGUAGGGCGGUAGAUACUGUGGAUCUGGAAUGCGGUUGGGGAAUACAGAAUUCCUGGUGUAGCGGUGGAAUGCGCAGAGAUCAGGAGGAAUACCGAAGGCGAAGGCAGUCUUCCAAGCCGUUAUUGACGCUCAACUGCGAAGGUGUGGGUAUCAAACAGGAUUAGAUACCCUGGUAGUUCCUGA
RNAcentral lists this ribosomal RNA (276 nucleotides) under uncultured prokaryote. Its description in RNAcentral is "partial 16S ribosomal RNA". It matches the Rfam family "Bacterial small subunit ribosomal RNA", at positions 524 to 799 of the family's 1533-position model. The record is from RNAcentral.